CAAAAUGUUAUUCUCUUGGAUCCUUUACAGGCAGAAAAUUCUCUGAAGGCAGAGUACCACAGACGUGGAGAUGGGAAGUGUCUGCAGCAGCUGUUCACGGGAAGCUGUCGGCAAAAAGAAGGGCAGCGGAGUCAUAGAAUGACGCUGCAAUUAGAAACGAAAAGUGGAUGCAAAUUUCUGUCUGAGGGACACAUUUUUCCUCUUGAAAUAAUUCAAGAGACUUGCCAAAGGCCUCUGGAAAUGGAUGAUGUGUAUAUUUGCUGGCAGGGAAGGCUAGUUUCUUAAAACAUAAAAAAUUUCUCAUUUUUGUCUUUGAUGAGCAUCUGUUUAGCAAAAUCUUGGUUCAUGACCCCAGAGAUUAACUGGCUGGGCAUCGCAAGUACUCACCAAAUUCUGAACCUUUGCAGUUUAGCAGGCUCAUGCGACAAGUUCUGGUCAGUGAGCAGACAUGAUCUAUGUCACUUGUGGAUGAGACAUGGAAGACUGGCUGGGUUCCCCAUAAGCUCCCUUUCCGCCUGGUCUCACUAAAUGGAGCAUCUGAGGAAACGGGAACCUAUCAUGAUGGCACUCUCAAAUACAAGACUGCCUCUGUGAACAUUUUUCAGUGAACUACGUCUUUCAGAAUGACACUCCCACCUCAGCGCCCACGCCUUGGCCUUGUAGCGCGUUCAGAAGGCGACCUGCGACCGGCAUACAGAAUUGGAAAAGUCGCCGGUGUGAUGAGAAUGCCUAAUGUGCUCAGAGCAGCCGUCUGCGGCAGAAGCCAGCCCUCACAAAUCAAAACACCACUCUGUUGUGCACGGUGACGUGGAAAGUUUUAGAAGAGGGAAUCUCUGCCCUACGCAGUUAGUGGCUGGGGUGUGACCACAAUGCAUAAUGAGCAGGCAGCGGCUGAGCUGCAGAUGAUGCCUGCUGCUCUGUAGUCCAUGCUACUGGUCCUCUUUUCCUGGGUAAAGCUGGCAGCUGAACUGGGAGCCCCGGGGCAGUCAUCAAGAUGCAGA
RNAcentral lists this long non-coding RNA (1001 nucleotides) under Macaca nemestrina (pig-tailed macaque). RNAcentral's name for it is "lncRNA (ENSMNEG00000045581.1)". The record is from RNAcentral. Lineage: Eukaryota; Metazoa; Chordata; Mammalia; Primates; Cercopithecidae.